This is a long non-coding RNA of Labeo rohita (rohu), 370 nucleotides long. RefSeq lists it as uncharacterized. The transcript has 3 exons. The record is from RefSeq and is a predicted model, not a curated record. NCBI's taxonomy places the organism in Eukaryota, Metazoa, Chordata, Actinopteri, Cypriniformes, Cyprinidae.
UUUAGAAGGCGGUACUUAUUCGCCUUUACGGACACGUAUGAUGAGCACAAAACAAGUCUGUAACUGGUCGCCAUUUUGUGAGGGUCAUUCAUUCGCGGUUCAAUCAGUUAUGGGGUGAUUCUUGAAUGAUGUCUGUGUCUGUGCAACCAGAGUCGGUUUAUUGUGUGUAUUUAAAUUGUGAUGAAAGUCAGCAUUUGAUCGUCGUUAUUCGCGGACGCACAAAACAACUUUGAACACACACAUCACAAGAAACGUGUCGUCCUAACAUUAAAACUGGUUGUGGACGCCAUGCUUUCCUGAGAGGGUCCUUCGCGGCAGUUUGGUCGGUUAACGAUCUGAUCUCAUCAUCAUCCAGUCUGUCUGCACUGUA